AUGGACGACGACGGCAGCUUGAGCAUUCGGAAUUGGGGCUUCUAUGAGACGAUGAAAGGCAACCUCGGCCUGCAGCUGAUGCCAUCUGUGGCCGGCGGCCACCGGGACACUAAGCCGCUGCUCCCCAACGGCACCUUCUUGCAGCACCACAACGCCCUGCACCACCCGCCACAUUCACAUCACCCCCGCGACUAUGGUAACGGCGAACCCUCUGGUGGCAUGCCCACCGAGCCGCCGGCUAUUCACAUGGAUUUUGUGCGCAAUGAGGCCUGGAUGCACCCCUCGCAGCAUCAGCAUCAGCAGCAGCACCAGCACCAUCACCAGAACCAACAUCAACAGCAGCAUCAGCAUCAGCAUCAACAUUCCCGUGAGCAGAAGGUCCUUCAUGCUGUUCCUCUUGGGCCUGCUGGACAUAUUGGACAUCCUGGACAUGCUGUGCAUCACCACCCUACAGGUUUUGGGAUGAUGCCAGAUGCGCGUGGUGCGCACACUCUCCAGAUGAUGCAGCCACAGGAGCCUCCUGUGCCCGAGGAGGAAAAAAUUGCCCCACCGUUGGUUGAAGAGCAUUCUGUGGUAGGAAGCAAGCCUCCGGUAAAGAAGAGGCAGCAAGGUCGUCAGCCUAAGUUGCCGAAGCCGAAGAAGCCUAAGAAGGUUGCUACUCCAGGGGAAGAUGGGGCACCCAAGGCCCGUGCACCCCGAAGCAGGGGUCCUCUUAAGCCUGUGGAAAUGGUAAUUAAUGGUAUUGAUUUUGACAUUUCAAGGAUACCAACACCUGUGUGCUCAUGCACUGGAGCUCCCCAGCAAUGCUACCGGUGGGGUGCAGGUGGCUGGCAGUCUGCAUGCUGCACAACUUCUAUUUCGACAUACCCGCUGCCAAUGAACACAAAGCGCCGGGGCGCACGUAUUGCUGGAAGGAAGAUGAGCCAAGGUGCAUUCAAAAAGGUUCUUGAGAAGCUAGCUGGUGAAGGGUACAACCUUAAUAAUCCAAUUGACUUGAAGACCUUCUGGGCCAAGCAUGGCACAAACAAGUUUGUAACAAUCAGGUAA
Molecule: ribosomal RNA, 1047 nt
Filed under: Triticum aestivum (bread wheat)
Lineage: Eukaryota; Viridiplantae; Streptophyta; Magnoliopsida; Poales; Poaceae
Description: partial small subunit ribosomal RNA
Source: RNAcentral